Molecule: ribosomal RNA, 468 nt
Filed under: uncultured bacterium
Lineage: Bacteria
Description: partial 16S ribosomal RNA
Rfam family: Bacterial small subunit ribosomal RNA
Source: RNAcentral
GACGAACGCUGGCGGCGUGCUUAACACAUGCAAGUCGAACGGAAAGGCCCUGCUUUUGUGGGGUGCUCGAUUGGCGAACGGGUGAGUAACACGUGAGUAACCUGCCCUUGACUUUGGGAUAACUUCAGGAAACUGGGGCUAAUACCGGAUAGGAGCUCCUGCUGCAUGGUGGGGGUUGGAAAGUUUCGGCGGUUGGGGAUGGACUCGCGGCUUAUCAGCUUGUUGGUGGGGUAGUGGCUUACCAAGGCUUUGACGGGUAGCCGGCCUGAGAGGGUGACCGGCCACAUUGGGCCUGAGAUACGGACCAGACUCCUACGGGAGGCAGCAGUGGGAAAUAUUGCACAAUGGGCGGAAGCCUGAUGCAGAAACGCCGCGUGCGGGAUGACGGCCUUCGGGUUGUAAACAGCUUUCGCCUGUGACGAAGCGUGAGUGACGGUAAUGGGUAAAGAAGCACCGGCUAACUACGUG